AUGAUAUGCAAAUCUGAUCAUUUAAACAAGGAAAUAUAAGUUGUUGUCUGCGAUGGUUGAAUAACAAGCUCAAAAUGAUAGUUUUUUGGCCGUGCUAAGUUUCCUAACCGAACACCAUGGAAUCAAACGAGAUGAUCUAGUCGGCUAACUACUUGACAGCCUUUCAAUCCACCUGAGUCCUCGCGAUCCGUCUUGUAUGUCUUCGAUUGAGGAUGCAAACUUGUGCGACCACCUUUUUGAGGCAAGGCAUUGUAUCCAAACAAACCGUCUGAAGAAAACACGGCUCGUAAUUCCUUGCAGUGAAGGUACUUUCUCAUUACCCUCGUCUCUUUCCUGUACUUGGUUCAAUAGCAGCAGUUGUAUGAUGUCGUACACCAUUCUAAACAACUCGUGCAAGGCUCUCAAUUGAAAGUGAAGUGCUGCGGAUUGAUUCGUCCUUUGUAUUGUAUUUCCUUCAUAUUGUGUUAUGGGAGAGUCAAUAUAGCAAGAUGGUAUUGGAAAGGGAAAUUCUUUUAACUUGUUUCCAUGGAAUCAAGUUAUAAACAGCAAGAAUAUACAGUCCUUUGACAAAACGUUGUCGUUGAUCGGAUCAUCCCUACGCGCCUAGACCGAAAAGGAUAACGGGUAAAUUAACAUGAAUAAUUAAUUGUUCUCUAUCAGUCGGUGACAAUAGCACAAUGGAGAGCAAAAUGCACGUUUGUCUUCGCGUAUUACGCAAGGAAAACAAGAGCACAGCUUCACAUCAUAUUCCAUCAAGGAUGUCCCAAAUAUCGACAACGUGCAGGCGCUAAAAGAUUAUCUGCUUGAGCGCUGUUCAGACGAGUUAUCGCCGGCUAAAGAUAGUAGCUUCGAAAUAGGUUACUUUGGGGAUGAGAGCCAAAAAUUUANUAUUUCCAGUCCAGUACAACUUGCCCAAGACGUGUUAGAUAACAUAUGCGGCAGCUAGUAACUGUGAAUUAAUUAUCCCCAUGAUCCUAUUUGGUCUAGGCGCGUAGGGAUGAAGCCGAUCAAACGACAACGUUUAGUCAAAGGACUGUAAGUUUAUGUCAUAUCUUCAAUAGUAAAAUGUUUAUAUAACAAUAAGUGAAAUUAUAAUUGGAAUAAA
Molecule: long non-coding RNA, 1105 nt
Filed under: Actinia tenebrosa (Australian red waratah sea anemone)
Lineage: Eukaryota; Metazoa; Cnidaria; Anthozoa; Actiniaria; Actiniidae
Description: uncharacterized LOC116288409, transcript variant X3
Source: RNAcentral